GCAAGAUUAAAACUCAAAGGAAUAGACGGGGACCCGCACAAGCGGUGGAGCAUGUGGUUUAAUUCGACGAUACGCGAAGAACCUUACCUGGCCUUGACAUAGACAGAAUUUUCCAGAGACGGAGAAGUGCUAGUUUACUAGAACUGUCAUACAGGUACUGCACGGCUGUCGUCAGCUCGUGUCGUGAGAUGUUGGGUUAAGUCCCGCAACGAGCGCAACCCUCGUGUUUAGUUACUAACAGUUCGGCUGAGGACUCUAAACAGACUGCCUGGGUAACCAGGAGGAAGGUGAGGACGACGUCAAGUCAUCAUGGCCCUUACGGCCAGGGCUACACACGUGCUACAAUGGGGUGUACAAAGAGCUGCAAUACGGUGACGUGGAGCAAAUCUCAUAAAAUAUCUCCCAGUUCGGAUUGAAGUCUGCAACUCGACUUCAUGAAGUUGGAAUCGCUAGUAAUCGUAGAUCAGCAAUGCUACGGUGAAUACGUUCCCGGGUCUUGUACUCACCGCCCGUCACACCAUGGGAAUUGAAUUCAUUCGAAGCGGGGAUGCUAAAAUAGCUACCUUCCACAGUGGAUUUAGUAACUAGGGUGAAGUCGUAACAAGGUA
Molecule: ribosomal RNA, 608 nt
Filed under: uncultured bacterium
Lineage: Bacteria
Description: bacterial SSU rRNA
Rfam family: Bacterial small subunit ribosomal RNA
Source: RNAcentral